This 16-nucleotide unclassified non-coding RNA is filed under the name Drosophila melanogaster (fruit fly). RNAcentral's name for it is "RNA (5'-R(*UP*UP*GP*GP*UP*UP*UP*GP*AP*UP*UP*CP*CP*AP*AP*G)-3') from Drosophila melanogaster (PDB 7EXY, chain A)". Lineage: Eukaryota; Metazoa; Arthropoda; Insecta; Diptera; Drosophilidae. The record is from RNAcentral.
UUGGUUUGAUUCCAAG